AUACGUAGGUGGCAAGCGUUGUCCGGAAUUAUUGGGCGUAAAGCGCGCGCAGGCGGUCCUUUAAGUCUGAUGUGAAAGCCCACGGCUCAACCGUGGAGGGUCAUUGGAAACUGGGGGACUUGAGUACAGAAGAGGAAAGCGGAAUUCCACGUGUAGCGGUGAAAUGCGUAGAGAUGUGGAGGAACACCAGUGGCGAAGGCGGCUUUCUGGUCUGUAACUGACGCUGAGGCGCGAAAGCGUGGGGAGCAAACAGGAUUAGAUACCCUGGUAGUCCACGCCGUAAACGAUGAGUGCUAAGUGUUAGGGGGUUUCCGCCCCUUAGUGCUGCAGCUAACGCAUUAAGCACUCCGCCUGGGGAGUACGGUCGCAAGACUGAA
RNAcentral lists this ribosomal RNA (377 nucleotides) under uncultured bacterium. Its description in RNAcentral is "bacterial SSU rRNA". It matches the Rfam family "Bacterial small subunit ribosomal RNA", at positions 523 to 898 of the family's 1533-position model. The record is from RNAcentral.